Molecule: transfer RNA, 69 nt
Filed under: Celastrina oreas
Lineage: Eukaryota; Metazoa; Arthropoda; Insecta; Lepidoptera; Lycaenidae
Also listed under: 1 other name
Description: tRNA-Leu
Source: RNAcentral
ACUAUUUUGACAGAAAAAAUGUGUUGAUUUUAGAAAUCAUUUAUAUAUAAAUAAAUUAUAUACAUAGUA